Molecule: ribosomal RNA, 255 nt
Filed under: Triticum aestivum (bread wheat)
Lineage: Eukaryota; Viridiplantae; Streptophyta; Magnoliopsida; Poales; Poaceae
Description: partial small subunit ribosomal RNA
Source: RNAcentral
AUGACUUCCUCAUCUUCCUCAUCCGGCGCUAUCUCCCAACCUACCCUCAGUAGUCAGGUCACCGAGAAGCUUUCCCGCACAAACUAUGUGCUAUGGCGCACGCAGAUCAUCCCGCAACUGCGUGGUGCCGGGGUCUUCGGCUAUGUCGACGGCACCUUGCCGAAACCAGCCAAACUCCUUGCCACCAAGGACAAGGAUGGCAAGGAAACAUUUGAGCCCAAACCUCUCUACUCGAUCUGGGUCGGGGAGGACCAA